UACAAAUUAAAACAAAAGAUGCCAUAUCCAAAAGAUUCUACUGGCCUGGAAUGUCUUUAGAUAUUGAUGCUUGGGUAGGUGCAUAUUUGGAUGAACUACAAACUGUGAUUAAAGUAUGGUAACAAGUUUUGAAAUUUGAUCAUUUUUAUCUAUUCUUUUUCUGUGUUUUGUAUGCAAUCAAAUUUAUAAUAGGUUUCCAGGUGUGUGUUAUGCCAGAGCAAGCGUUGCGACCUUAAGCAAAGUGUGGAGUACAUCCCUAUAGAGGUUAUUGAGAAUAACCUAAUAUGAUUAUAUGCAGGUUUUAUUCAAAUUUUAAUGAUGAAAUAUAAACAUCAGAUGUAUAGAAUGUCACAUUCCAUUUUCAUAUUUUACUGAAGUGUAGUUUUUUAUUCAUACAUUUUAUUUUGUCAUUCUUAGGGGUGUAAAACUAGGAGGACCACAGAUCUGCAGUGUUUACUUUUAUACCCUCUUCCCCCACACCUAUGACUCUCAAGUGUUCUUGAACAUCGUAUGUAGUGGUUCAAAUGUGUAAAUGGGGUUGAGGGUAAAUAUUGCAGGACUGUGGCCCUGCAGGAGCAGAGUCUGACAUCCAGACAGCUGCAGUUAUAAUUUAUAAGCAUUGGUUAUGUGCAUGGUCAAUGCAUUCUUUAUUUAUCAGGUCACUGCCCCGUUUAAAAUCUUUUAUUGGGACAUUUGACAGGAAGGCCCAAACCAGGAAUUAGAGAGUGAGGUAAAAAAAAAACAGUUCAGUACAGCGUGCAAGUUAUCUUUGACAUUAUUUCUCAUAUUCAUAGAUUUUUAAUUUUUAUUCUGUUGUUACUGCAAGGUUGUCAAUGCAUAUUUACAUUUAAUGAUGAGGAAAUACAACAAGCUCCAUCAGGAAGAGACCCUGUUUGCUUAUUAUUUUGAAAUGACUAGGACCUGGAAUAGUGGACAGUCCAAAUUAAAGAUGAUCUGUCUGAACUGUGGAAGACGACAAGCCUCAGAAGAAGGCGGCUAAGAUCCCAUGACCAUCAACUGGGUAAGAGCAUCUUUAGCAGUAAGUCAACAGGCAGCAACAAGCGGUGAUUGUAACAGGUGGUUUCACAAAGACUGUGUUGGGACUGACAUUCAUUUUCUCUGUGCAGCAUGUUUUUAAAUUGACUAGUAGUACACAAGUGAAAACAACAUUUUUGGGGGGGUGGGGACUGUAGGUGGGGACU
Cyprinus carpio carpio is the source of this 1202-nucleotide long non-coding RNA. The record is from Ensembl. Lineage: Eukaryota; Metazoa; Chordata; Actinopteri; Cypriniformes; Cyprinidae.